UGCUUAUCUACGUACAGUAGAACUGUGUGU
RNAcentral lists this non-coding RNA (30 nucleotides) under Homo sapiens (human). Lineage: Eukaryota; Metazoa; Chordata; Mammalia; Primates; Hominidae. The record is from RNAcentral.